Molecule: long non-coding RNA, 508 nt
Organism: Archocentrus centrarchus (flier cichlid)
Lineage: Eukaryota; Metazoa; Chordata; Actinopteri; Cichliformes; Cichlidae
Exons: 3
Source: RefSeq, a predicted model, not a curated record
UUUAUAGAGACAACAUGCAGAGGAAGAAGCUCCACUGCGCAUUAUCCCAAGGUCUGGAGAGUCUAUGAUGUAGCUGACCUGAAGGUGAAUUUCCUGGGAUGUCCACUCCUGGGAAAAUUUUGGUACACACCAGAAUGCUCCAGACCAGCAAACUGCCAAAGCCUUUAAAGACUGGGUCAUACUUGCUGAUCAUCAAUUAAUCAAGUGCAUGACCGGCAUUCACCAGUACCAGCUAAGAGGCUACCAACAAGGAAACACACACAGAAACCAUCGAUCAAUAAAACCUCUUUGUAUGAGUCUUAUUCAGAUAGUGUCAAAGCUACCCAUGUGUAAAUAUAUACUGUUUAUCUAAGUAAUGAAGAGACUCUUCAAUGUUCUUUGGCACAACAGAAGAAGCUAUUGGGGGGCGGGGGUCCCUUGAGCCUAUAGUAACAUUGGGUUAUAUUAAAACAUACUCUCUAGUAAUUACAUUGUAUUUUAAAUCUGUAUUUCAGUUGCCAAAGUUACA